UGUACACACCGCCCGUCACACCACGAGAGUUUACAACACCCGAAGUCGGUGGGGUAACCCGCAAGGGAGCCAGCCGCCGAAGGUGGGGUAGAUGAUUGGGGUGAAGUCGUAACAAGGUAGCCGUAUCGGAAGGUGCGGCUGGAUCACCUCCU
Molecule: ribosomal RNA, 152 nt
Filed under: cotton phyllosphere bacterium C
Lineage: Bacteria
Description: partial 16S ribosomal RNA
Rfam family: Bacterial small subunit ribosomal RNA
Source: RNAcentral